This 610-nucleotide long non-coding RNA is filed under the name Volvox carteri. RNAcentral describes it as "long non-coding RNA (VCAR_LNC001683)". Lineage: Eukaryota; Viridiplantae; Chlorophyta; Chlorophyceae; Chlamydomonadales; Volvocaceae. The record is from RNAcentral.
AAAUGAUGGGGUACGGGGGACCCCUGGGCCAGUAGGUUAGGUUACGACGGCUGUCUGCUUGGGCUCUUGAUCGGCUUGAUCAGACAACCGGCGCCUUGCUGAGAACGCGAGUACGCCUGUGCGCUGCGCUUGUGUGUUGUGCAUCAUGAAGGUACGCGAUGUUCAUAUCCAGUGUUAGCAACAAUGUUGGUGGAUGGCGCGCAUCAGACUUCGACAUUGGAACAGCAAUAACACGCGUUUGCGCGAAGUCUUGCAGCCUGUCCAAGGAGCGUUGAGCUGCUCCCCCCAAAGCCCAGCGCAGCGCUGUCCCCGCCGUCGCCUGCGUACCGCCUUAAAAAUCCGUUCCAAAGCCUUAGAGCAACAGUACGUGAGGCAAUUCUGAUGCGUGUGUAGUAAGUGCGAUUUGAAUUCACGGGAGCACGUUUUUACGAGAUGAUCCACGCAAGUGGAUGAACGUUGACUUUGGACUGUCGUACAGUUGCCCCUAUUGCCGUUGCAUAAAGCCAUUCAGUCCCACACAUGAGUGUCGAUCGAAGCUAGCGAUGCAUUGAGGAAGUAAGCUUCGAUUGGAUACAGGUGCAACCACCGGGCUGCGCAUUGUUUGGAGGCG